Molecule: ribosomal RNA, 483 nt
Filed under: uncultured bacterium
Lineage: Bacteria
Description: partial 16S ribosomal RNA
Rfam family: Bacterial small subunit ribosomal RNA
Source: RNAcentral
UUGCACGCUGGCGGCAGGCCUAACACCUGCAAGUCGAGCGGAUGAAGGGAGCUUGCUCCUGGAUUCAGCGGCGGACGGGUGAGUAAUGCCUAGGAAUCUGCCUGGUAGUGGGGGAUAACGUCCGGAAACGGGCGCUAAUACCGCAUACGUCCUGAGGGAGAAAGUGGGGGAUCUUCGGACCUCACGCUAUCAGAUGAGCCUAGGUCGGAUUAGCUAGUUGGUGGGGUAAAGGCCUACCAAGGCGACGAUCCGUAACUGGUCUGAGAGGAUGAUCAGUCACACUGGAACUGAGACACGGUCCAGACUCCUACGGGAGGCAGCAGUGGGGAAUAUUGGACAAUGGGCGAAAGCCUGAUCCAGCCAUGCCGCGUGUGUGAAGAAGGCCUUCGGAUUGUAAAGCACUUUAAGUUGGGAGGAAGGGCAGUAAGUUAAUACCUUGCUGUUUUGACGUUACCAACAGAAUAAGCACCGGCUAACUUCGUG